This 433-nucleotide ribosomal RNA is filed under the name uncultured bacterium. RNAcentral's name for it is "bacterial SSU rRNA". It matches the Rfam family "Bacterial small subunit ribosomal RNA", at positions 340 to 786 of the family's 1533-position model. The record is from RNAcentral.
UACGGAAGGCAGCAGUGGGGAAUAUUGGACAAUGGGCGAAAGCCUGAUCCAGCCAUGCCGCAUGAGUGAAGAAGGCCUUCGGGUUGUAAAGCUCUUUUAGUGAGAAAGAUAAUGACGGUACUCACAGAAGAAGUCCUGGCUAACUCCGUGCCAGCAGCCGUGGUAAUACGGAGAGGGCUAGCGUUAUUCGGAAUUAUUGGGCGUAAAGAGCGCGUAGGCUGAUUAGUAAGUUAAAAGUGAAAUCCCAAAGCUUAACUUUGGAAUUGCUUUUUAAAACUGCUAGUCUAGAGAUUGAAAGAGGAUAGAGGAAUUCCUAGUGUAGAGGUGAAAUUCGUAAAUAUUAGGAGGAACACCAGUGGCGAAGGCGUCUAUCUGGUUCAAAUCUGACGCUGAGGCGCGAAGGGCGUGGGGAGCAAACAGGGAUUUAGAUACC